Molecule: long non-coding RNA, 1454 nt
Organism: Marmota monax (woodchuck)
Lineage: Eukaryota; Metazoa; Chordata; Mammalia; Rodentia; Sciuridae
Exons: 2
Source: RefSeq, a predicted model, not a curated record
CCCCGUGAGGGCCCUGCACUGGGCUCUGCACAUCUCCUCCGCCUCCUCCACUGAGCUCGGCGGCUGGGUCAGCCUCCCCUCCGUCUCUUUCUCUUCUUUCGUCCCCACCUCCUCCCUCCUUGGCCCGUCUCUUUGGCUUCCCUCUUUCUCCUCAUUUUCCCCCAGUCUUCUUCCUUUAGCCCUGGCCGCCCAUCGAGACAGGGGGAGGCCUCUGCGGGGAUGGGGGUCGCCUUCGCCGGUGCCGCCUGGCCCUGGCGGCCUUGGCUGGGCUGAGCGAGAGCCAGGGCGCUGCCUGCGGGCUCCAGGGACCUGCCUCCCUCCCUCCGCGCGUCCCGGCUCCCUUCCUCUCCCCAGGGUGCGCCCUGCCCAGGGCCCGCUCCCGCCCUGCCCUGCUCGCUGCAGCUGCCCUCUCCUCUUUUCUGUUUCUCGCUCCCUUCUUCCCCACCGUCUCUCCUCCCCACUCCUUCCCCUGACGUUUCCUCUUCUCCCUCGCCCCCUCGCCAGCCCUCCCGCUGGGCGCGCCCCUCCAGCUGUGCUCCCCUUCUCUUCUAUCUUGCACUCUUUCCUCUUUUCUUCCCCUCUCACUUUUCUCUCUUUUUCUUUCCUCCUCUUGUCCUUUGAGCUUUAUCCUCUCUGAAUCUGCCUCCCCUUCCUCUCCCUCUUGCUCCCCACUCUCUCCUUUGGGAGAUCCGUAAAUCUCCCCACACCCUCUCCCUGCUUCGCUUUGAAUCUCUCCCCACGCUCUCAAUCCUCCGGAGUCCGGCCUCCUCCAGUCUCAGGGAGGCGCCUGCACUCUCCCUACUCCUCUCCUGCUCGUGCCCUCUCCCUCCCUCCCCUGCCCCAGCACUCAAGGUUCCCAGGCUGAGAAGGAGGUGGCUUCCACCCAGUGCAGGAGGUGGGCCACCAGAGGCAGAGCUGCCAAGCCAGAGCCCAGGAGCUGAAAGAACUUUGUGACGUUUGUUCUCUCUCUUUUCUGUCUGUCCUGGACGCUGGAUACCCCCUGGAGAAAUCAAGCCCACCCAAAGCCUGGGAAGGAGGAAAUGAGGAAUGGGACCAGAGACAGAAGCAAGUUGCAUCACUCCACCCUCUUCUCAGCAGAGAGCACCUCCAUGUGGAGGACCUUCCUGGAUCUCCUUUUCACCCAUGAGAAACAGGCGCCCAGGACUUCAAAAGACCAGCAGCAGUGAGGACAGAGACGCCAGGGAGGACCUGGCCUGAAGGACCAACAGCGCCACCUGCAGGGCACUUCAUCCAUGCGGGGCCCUCAGUUACCACCUCCUGGCAGCAGAUGGAACAGCACCCGUGCUCUAUUAGAACUGAGUCUGUCCUCAGGGAUAAGGAUAAUGCCAAGAAUGCCUGGGGGAGGUGGGGAGACUGGGUGGGGAGGACAGAUUUGCAAAAUGCUGCCGAAAUAACCACUUUUACUUCCAACAUAUAAAUAUCCUGCCCCACAA